RNAcentral lists this ribosomal RNA (614 nucleotides) under uncultured bacterium. RNAcentral's name for it is "bacterial SSU rRNA". It matches the Rfam family "Bacterial small subunit ribosomal RNA", at positions 338 to 944 of the family's 1533-position model. The record is from RNAcentral.
CCUACGGGAGGCAGCAGUGGGGAAUUUUGGACAAUGGGCGCAAGCCUGAUCCAGCCAUGCCGCGUGCAGGAUGAAGGCCUUCGGGUUGUAAACUGCUUUUGUACGGAACGAAAAGACUCUGGUUAAUACCUGGGGUCCAUGACGGUACCGUAAGAAUAAGCACCGGCUAACUACGUGCCAGCAGCCGCGGUAAUACGUAGGGUGCGAGCGUUAAUCGGAAUUACUGGGCGUAAAGCGUGCGCAGGCGGUUAUGUAAGACAGAUGUGAAAUCCCCGGGCUCAACCUGGGAACUGCAUUUGUGACUGCAUAGCUAGAGUACGGCAGAGGGGGAUGGAAUUCCGCGUGUAGCAGUGAAAUGCGUAGAUAUGCGGAGGAACACCGAUGGCGAAGGCAAUCCCCUGGGCCUGUACUGACGCUCAUGCACGAAAGCGUGGGGAGCAAACAGGAUUAGAUACCCUGGUAGUCCACGCCCUAAACGAUGUCAACUGGUUGUUGGGUCUUCACUGACUCAGUAACGAAGCUAACGCGUGAAGUUGACCGCCUGGGGAGUACGGCCGCAAGGUUGAAACUCAAANAGAGUGAGNGNGAGAGNGCGAGACGACACGAGGAGGAGG